RNAcentral lists this ribosomal RNA (400 nucleotides) under uncultured bacterium. RNAcentral's name for it is "bacterial SSU rRNA". It matches the Rfam family "Bacterial small subunit ribosomal RNA", at positions 356 to 773 of the family's 1533-position model. The record is from RNAcentral.
GGGGAAUCUUCCGCAAUGGACGAAAGUCUGACGGAGCAACGCCGCGUGGGUGAUGAAGGUUUUCGGAUCGUAAAACCCUGUCAGGAAGGAAGAUAAUGACGGUACUUCCGAAGGAAGCCCCGGCUAACUACGUGCCAGCAGCCGCGGUAAUACGUAGGGGGCAAGCGUUGUCCGGAAUAACUGGGCGUAAAGAGCACGUAGGCGGUCUAUUAAGUCAGAUGUGAAAUAUCCCGGCUCAACCGGGAGGGUGCAUUUGAUACUGGUAGACUAGAGUGCAGGAGAGGAAAGUGGAAUUCCUAGUGUAGCGGUGAAAUGCGUAGAUAUUAGGAGGAACACCAGUGGCGAAGGCGACUUUCUGGACUGUAACUGACGCUGAGGUGCGAAAGCCAGGGGAGCAAAC